AAGGACACAGUUAUGCCAGACAACUAUGCAGUGGCUCAACAACGUACAACGUAGGAAAAUCUCAGCCCUAGCUCUCGCUGUUGUGCGUUCACGCACCGUGAAGCCAUGUCCCAAUACCAGUUUAAAGGUAGCUUAAGGGGUAAGGGGGAGGGCUAACAUCCCCUCAAAAUUGAGAUUUUCGAUGGGCACACUCAAAGCGCUUCAGUUCUGACUUGCUCCCACAAUACUUUGCGAGAAAACGGAAAAUCAAGAAAUAUCCUAGACAAGAUGGAGGGCGAAAAGAUGCGACAGGAUUGGAAAAACACAAAUGACAUCGUUGAGUCCACUGCCACCAGCCCCCCCCACCUCUCCCUCAUGCUCCUCCACCCCAGGCACCUCUUCCACCACCCCAGACACCCCUUCCAAGAGGAGAGUGCCAGGGAGCAGGCGAGGCAUGAGGAGAGGGAGGCAAAGUUGGCGGAAUGGUGGAGAAGAUGUGAUUCUCCACCAUUCUCUCAAAAGCUGAGAGAGAGUGUGUGUGUGUGUGUGUGUGUAUUUUUAGGUGUGCGUGUGUGUGUAUUUUUAGAUGCGUGUGUGUGUAUUUUUAGAUGUGUGGUUCAGUGUUUCUUAUUUAAAUAAAGUGUUUCUUCUAAAGUGUUCUUGUUCUUAACCGAUUAUUAUCUAAGGGUGCACUCACACUAGGCCAUCUGGCCGUGGCCGUGGCCGUUUUAGCACCUAACCGUGCUCAAAUCUGCCAGUGUGAGUGUGGCCAGUCUGGCCAGGCCGGGCCAAUUUGGCCACUUGGGAGAAGUGUGCUGCUACGGCACGGGCCGCUACGGUACAGAUGCUAAUGAGCCGACACACGUACGGCUACGCAACCUGAGCUGGAUGACGUAUAGUCAAUGCGACGACCACGGACAUAAUAAAGGCGACGAGCCUUCUUUCCCAUUAAACGGUAAACAUCGCGUCAAGCGGUUCAACUGUUGGUGUGUUCUCUGUGUUGUUAUCCAUUGUUGUUAAAACUCUGACUAGCGGCAGACUUUAUUAUGGUCCAUGCAGCGGACGCUUGGUGAUAACGGGUUACGACGUGAUGACGUAUGUACAAGAGCCUUCCGUGGCCAGGCCACAGCUGCGACGGCCAACGGCCACGGCCAGAUGGCCUAGUGUGAGUGCAGGCCAGAGAACAAUGGGGCCAUUUGAAC
RNAcentral lists this long non-coding RNA (1181 nucleotides) under Gadus morhua (Atlantic cod). Its description in RNAcentral is "lncRNA (ENSGMOG00000030816.1)". Lineage: Eukaryota; Metazoa; Chordata; Actinopteri; Gadiformes; Gadidae. The record is from RNAcentral.